This 74-nucleotide microRNA precursor is filed under the name Bombyx mori (domestic silkworm). Its description in RNAcentral is "mir-2807 microRNA precursor family". It matches the Rfam family "mir-2807 microRNA precursor family". The record is from Rfam by way of RNAcentral. Lineage: Eukaryota; Metazoa; Arthropoda; Insecta; Lepidoptera; Bombycidae.
AAUACACAAAUUCGUAUGGAUUUGGAACGUUUGCCGCUAGGGGCGCUGUUCCAACUGCAUACAAAGUUGAGUUA